RNAcentral lists this long non-coding RNA (1333 nucleotides) under Bos grunniens (domestic yak). Its description in RNAcentral is "lncRNA (ENSBGRG00000012088.1)". The record is from RNAcentral. Lineage: Eukaryota; Metazoa; Chordata; Mammalia; Artiodactyla; Bovidae.
CGACAGAGGAUGAGAUGGCUGGAUGGCAUCACUGACUCGAUGGACGUGGGUCUGAGUGAACUCCGGGAGUUGGUGAUGGACAGGGAGGCCUGGUGUGCUGCGAUUCAUGGGGUCGCAAAGAGUGGGACACGACUGAGCGACUGAUCUGAUCUGAACCUGUUCACAAAACCGAAAAGCGAAUUCCGAACCUAAGCCCCCGCCCUCAGAGGCCGCGGAGACACCGCUGCCCUCGCUGCCUCCUCAAGGAAAGCGACGCGCCAAGUUUAAAUAAGGCGCCGUCUCCUCAUUGGCUGGCGCUGCUGCUGGUUGAUUGGCUUCGCGCGAAGGUGGGCGGUACCGGGCGUGCCCAUUGGUGGAGGCGGGAAUUUUAAACUGGGCGAUGCCCCUGCGCCAUUAGCUCCUCCUUGCAGUUUGAGAGUCUCUUGGCCUGGCUAUCUUCCUGGGACUCGGCGAUUCGAGAAGGGGCGAAUUCUCUCUAGAUCCCCGCAGCUCCUCGAGGGGACGCGGUGCGCCUUCCUUCGGAGGCCGCUCGGAGCAUCCCGGCGGACCCGGAGGCCUCGGUGGCGACCUGGCACCCAGUCAAGAACGAAUGAUAAUCUACUGUAGUUCUGCUUUCAAUGAAGAGGGAGAACUCCGAUGAAAGUACUUUACUUAUGACUUCUUAAUCAGAGGUAAAAAUAGUGCAGAUAAGUAUUUAUUUACAAUUUUUAUUUGAUCGUAUAUGUAUUUGUUGCUAUGUGUAAAAUAUUUUGGCCUACGUAAAGGAAGAAAGAAAUAGUCCAAAAACUUGCUUAUUUCUAGGAAUACUUAUGGGGGCCUAUCUAAAAUAGUGCUUCUUCAUCUCACAUAAAGUAUGGACCCUUUUUUUUCCCUCCAAUUUUGCAAAAGCCUACUUCAGAAACAAGUCUUAGAGGGUAGAGUUUUAUUCUAUGAAUAACAUUCUACCAUUGCUACAGAUAACUUUUAUAUUUGGUAUACUUGUGGUUUAUUUUCAAUUACCCGAAUGAGGAGGCAUAAGAGACAUGGGUUUGAGCCCUGGAUGGGAGAGAUCCUCUGGAGGAGGGUAUGGCAACCCACUCCAGUAUUCUUGCCUGGAAAAUCCCGUGGAUAGAUUCUGUAGUCUAUGGUGUCGCAAAGAGUUGAACAUGACUGAAGCCACUCAGCACCCACACACACGCACCUAAAUGAGAACAAAACAGAAUUUGAUCUAACAUUUGCCUUUCCUUUGCCAAAGCAUCAUUAAGCUUCAACCUGCCGAGCAUCGUAGGCAUAUUAGAAACAGGCUCUUCCUGUUGUCAGUAGUCGUGACUGAUCCUUAUUGAGGUACGUUCAA